This 519-nucleotide ribosomal RNA is filed under the name uncultured bacterium. Its description in RNAcentral is "bacterial SSU rRNA". It matches the Rfam family "Bacterial small subunit ribosomal RNA", at positions 19 to 518 of the family's 1533-position model. The record is from RNAcentral.
AUGGCUCAGAUUGAACGCUGGCGGCGUGCUUAACACAUGCAAGUCGUGCGAGAAAGGUCCUUCGGGGACUGAGUAGAGCGGCGCACGGGUGAGUAACGCGUGGGUGACCUACCCAGGAGACCGGGAUAACAGUGGGAAACUGCUGCUAAUACCGGGUACGCUUCAUAUUUCACGUAUGGGGGAAAGGCGGCCUCUGCUUGCAAGCUGCCACUCUUGGAUGGGCCCGCGUCUCAUUAGCUUGUUGGUAGGGUAACGGCCUACCAAGGCGACGAUGAGUAGCUGGUCUGAGAGGAUGAUCAGCCACACUGGGACUGGAACACGGCCCAGACUCCUACGGGAGGCAGCAGUGGGGAAUAUUGCGCAAUGGGCGAAAGCCUGACGCAGCGACGCCGCGUGAGGGAAGAAGGCCUUCGGGUCGUAAACCUCUGUCAGGAGGGAAGAAACCAUGGGAGUCGAAUAGGCUCUCGUGCUGACGGUACCUCCGGAGGAAGCACCGGCUAACUCCGUGCCAGCAGCGGC